CUUCGGGAACUCUGAGACAGGUGCUGCAUGGCUGUCGUCAGCUCGUGUUGUGAAAUGUUGGGUUAAGUCCCGCAACGAGCGCAACCCUUAUCCUUGUUUGCCAGCGAGUAAUGUCGGGAACUCCAGGGAGACUGCCGGUGAUAAACCGGAGGAAGGUGGGGACGACGUCAAGUCAUCAUGGCCCUUACGAGUAGGGCUACACACGUGCUACAAUGGCGCAUACAGAGGGCAGCCAACUUGCGAAAGUGAGCGAAUCCCAAAAAGUGCGUCGUAGUCCGGAUUGGAGUCUGCAACUCGACUCCAUGAAGUCGGAAUCGCUAGUAAUCGUGGAUCAGAAUGCCACGGUGAAUACGUUCCCGGGCCUUGUACACACCGCCCGUCACACCAUGGGAGUGGGCUGCAAAAGAAGUAGGUAGUUUAACCUUCGGGGGGACGCUUACCACUUUGUGGUUCAUGACUGGGGUGAAGUCGUAACAAGGUAGCGCUAGGGGAACCUGGCGCUGGAUCACCUCCUUA
RNAcentral lists this ribosomal RNA (516 nucleotides) under Vibrio parahaemolyticus. RNAcentral's name for it is "bacterial SSU rRNA". It matches the Rfam family "Bacterial small subunit ribosomal RNA", at positions 1018 to 1533 of the family's 1533-position model. The record is from RNAcentral. Lineage: Bacteria; Pseudomonadati; Pseudomonadota; Gammaproteobacteria; Vibrionales; Vibrionaceae.